RNAcentral lists this ribosomal RNA (437 nucleotides) under uncultured bacterium. RNAcentral describes it as "bacterial SSU rRNA". It matches the Rfam family "Bacterial small subunit ribosomal RNA", at positions 331 to 785 of the family's 1533-position model. The record is from RNAcentral.
CCAGACUCCUACGGGAGGCAGCAGUGGGGAAUAUUGCACAAUGGGGGAAACCCUGAUGCAGCAACGCCGCGUGAGUGAAGAAGUCAUUCGUGAUGUAAAGCUCUAUCAGCAGGGAAGAAAAUGACGGUACCUGAGUAAGAAGCCCCGGCUAACUACGUGCCAGCAGCCGCGGUAAUACGUAGGGGGCAAGCGUUAUCCGGAUUUACUGGGUGUAAAGGGAGCGUAGACGGUCCUGCAAGCCAGAUGUGAAAGCCCGGGGCUCAACCCCGGGACUGCAUUUGGAACUGUGUGGCUGGAGUGUCGGAGAGGCAGGCGGAAUUCCUAGUGUAGCGGUGAAAUGCGUAGAUAUUAGGAGGAACACCAGUGACGAAGGCGGGUUCCUGGACAUUAACUGACGCUGAGGCACGAAGGCCAGGGGAGCGAAAGGGAUUAGAUAC